This is a long non-coding RNA of Mesocricetus auratus (golden hamster), 1081 nucleotides long. RefSeq lists it as uncharacterized. Lineage: Eukaryota; Metazoa; Chordata; Mammalia; Rodentia; Cricetidae. The record is from RefSeq and is a predicted model, not a curated record. The transcript is spliced from 2 exons.
UCAACAUCACCUGAAAAGGGAAGACCCACCCUAAAUGUGGGCCAUGCCUUUUCGUGACAGCCUCUAUAAAGGACUAGGACCCUGUGGUGCUUCAAAAGAAAAUGGCCCCCAAAGGGCGUGGCACUGUUAGGAGGCGUGGCCUUGUUGGAGGAAGUGCAGGCUUAGAGAGCUCUAUUUCUCAAGCUUCUCUCAGUGUGCCGGUCAGUUGACUCUCUGUUGCCCCCGAGUCAAGACGUAAGCACCGUCAGCUCCAGUACCACGUCUGCCUGCAUGCCGUGCUCUCUGCCAUGGACUGAACCUCUGAAACUCUUAAGUGAGCCACCCCCGUGAAAUGCUUCCUUUGGAAGAGUUGCCACAGCCGUGGUGUCUCUUGAGAGCAACAGAAGCCCUGACUCAGACAGGUGGGAGAAGCUAUUGCUUUGUGGUUGCUUGUGCUCGCUCUCAUUUCACUGACGUUACAGCCCCGAUUCUUUGGAAUUCCGCCACACACCGAACUGAACAUGGACUGAACAACUGCUGGGUCCUUGGACUUUCCACUGGGAGACAGCCAUUGUUAGCUGGGUCGUUGCCGUUUUACCCUGCAGCAAUUUGAUGUUGACGUCUUUAAGCCUGGGCCUGAGCACACUUGUUUUUCCUGCCACACUUGGGACAUUAAAUUGCUAUGUCUUCCGACAGCAGCCUGAUCGGAUGUGGUCGCUCAUCCUUUGUCUAUUGGCACUGCCUGGAGCCCCCCCCCCUGCCCUGAAACCUGUUUUCUACUCUAUGUCUGUGCUAUUUCAUUUAAACUCCGUGUUCCCUGGGAGACGCCCUUCUGUCUCCUUACCUCCUGGUCACCUAGUCACCAGAUUUCACAAUUAAUCACAGGCCCACCUUGAAGAGCCCGGGCUCCUGAAAUCGGUUGCCACUGGAUGGGAACUGCACCAAGUGGACAGCUGAGAUCUGGGACAUUAAUAAGAACCCCCCCCCCCCUUCAGGAAGCCACCCGGAAGACUUAACUCUGGAUGCUAUGACAACGAUAGGCGAAAGCUCUUCUGAGCUGUGAUUAAAUUUAACAUCGCUGCUGAGUAGUUUCUGUCUGCCA